This 253-nucleotide ribosomal RNA is filed under the name uncultured bacterium. RNAcentral describes it as "partial 16S ribosomal RNA". It matches the Rfam family "Bacterial small subunit ribosomal RNA", at positions 524 to 776 of the family's 1533-position model. The record is from RNAcentral.
UACGAAGGGGGCUAGCGUUGCUCGGAAUCACUGGGCGUAAAGGGCGCGUAGGCGGCCAUUCAAGUCAGGGGUGAAAGCCUGUGGCUCAACCACAGAAUUGCCUUUGAUACUGUUUGGCUAGAGACCGGAAGAGGUAAGUGGAACUGCGAGUGUAGAGGUGAAAUUCGUAGAUAUUCGCAAGAACACCAGUGGCGAAGGCGGCUUACUGGUCCGGUUCUGACGCUGAGGCACGAAAGCGUGGGUAGCAAACAGG